RNAcentral lists this ribosomal RNA (396 nucleotides) under uncultured bacterium. RNAcentral describes it as "partial 16S ribosomal RNA". It matches the Rfam family "Bacterial small subunit ribosomal RNA", at positions 523 to 918 of the family's 1533-position model. The record is from RNAcentral.
CUACGUAGGUGGCAAGCGUUGUCCGGAAUUAUUGGGCGUAAAGCGCAUGUAGGCGGCGUGUUAAGUCUGUCGUGAAACUGCGGGGCUCAGCCCCGUAUGGCGAUGGAAACUGAUGUGCUUGAGUGCAGGAGAGGAAAGGGGAACUCCCAGUGUAGCGGUGAAAUGCGUAGAUAUUGGGAAGAACACCGGUGGCGAAGGCGCCUUUCUGGACUGUGUCUGACGCUGAGAUGCGAAAGCCAGGGUAGCGAACGGGAUUAGAUACCCCGGUAGUCCUGGCCGUAAACGAUGGGUACUAGGUGUGGGAGGUAUCGACCCCUUCCGUGCCGGAGUUAACGCAAUAAGUACCCCGCCUGGGGAGUACGGCCGCAAGGCUUAAACUCAAAGGAAUUGACGGGG